UAUAUUGAACAUCACCCCUAACGUUCGUUCUCAUCACUGUGAACGUAGAUGUACUUAUACACAGCAGUUAUUGCCAUCGAAUACAGUUCGUUUUGUUUAUCCCUCACCUGUACUGGCUGGACUGUUUCGUGUUCGAUGAGUUUUUGACUCUUGGUAACAGCCUACACUCCGCUGGUGAUGGCAGAUUCCUUCUGCAUAAAAUGAACUCUGUUCGACCAUGUAGAAGAGCUCCUCCUUAUCGUAGCACUGGGCAUCUUUGGCACUUGUCUUUGUUUUACAACAUUCAAGCAUACAAUUGACAAUGGUCAAAUUGCCCUUAAUAUUUACACUAGGGUUUGUCUUCAGAUAGUCCAGAGAAACUCAAACCCUUAAGCCGAGCUAUGGUAGUGUUUGACACUGUUGGAACCUUGUUCAAAGUAAAGAGCACAAAUGGUAGAUCAGUUUGAAUCAAAAGUUCAAUCGCACCUGCAAGGUUGCACACCUGAAUAGUAAAAACGUGAAUUCGAUCUGGACCCAAAAUGAGGAAAUAUUGGAGACUACUCUCUUUUAGAAAUCCAAGGAAGGUUCGGAAGUUGCAGUAGCUCUCAAGCUCGGCAGGGCAGAAGCUUUUGGCGGCCACUGCGAAUGUUUGAGGAAGAAGAAGCCUGAAGUUUUUGUCACCACUGACGUCUGCCGAUCAACAAUGGUUCUUGUUCUCUUUAGCAUCUCAGCACGUAAUACUAAGAGCAUCGGGGUAACUAUCGUAGUAAACUCGAAAGCGUCUCCCGAAUCCCUGUUCAAAGUUUGCUGAUCUCGACAAAAUUCUGCUGUCAUCAUUGUGAACCGCACUCGAAAACACGAAUGCUAAAAUUCGAACCGCAGAAGAGUUUUGCAUAUCCUGCCAAAUUCCCGGCUCAAAGGAAACACACAAGCACCCCACGUGGAAUGACUACAGUUUCAAAUGCUACGCAAUCGCCAUCAAGCCUUAAAGCCUAAGCCUGAAACAAAAUCAUGGUAAAGAGAUUGUUGCAGGGCACUUCAAUGAAAGACUUGAAUGGGUGUUUAUGGGGUUUAUUGUUACACGAACAUUUCCAAUGUCCAAUUCUUCUAGAUGCGUGGUAUAGGCCCUAGUUCUGACGCCCAGGUUGAUGGGAUUUUUUUCCCUCUCCCCUGUUGAAGGUUACGUGCGUUGGAUAGCGAAUUCUCGUAAAGAAACCACACCUGCAAAAGCAACAUCUGUUUCUUUGACAUUCUACAAUACCGACUCAAUAGAAGCUUAGCCGAUUCUUAUACUAUUGAGAGAGCACAUAAUUCAUGCAUUUUGAUGGCGGCUUUGGGGGAGCGGAAGGCUGGAACGUCACCAAAUUCUCCUUUUGAGGAGGAAAACGAGCUUGUAGACGGAAUGGAGCUUCGAGUGGCUCUGAGGAGCUGGACUCUGACAGAAGCACUAGCUUUGAGGACAAGCUCAACACCAGUAGCGACUCUGACCAUAGCUCCCAACCUUCUCAGGAGAUCGUGAAUGUCGACUUUGAGUAUUUUGAUCCAAAGCCAGACGAUUUUCAUGGUGUUAAGGCAUUGCUGCGCACUUGCCUGGAUGUGGAAACGUGGGAUAUCAGUGAUUUUGCGGAUUUAAUAUUGGCAGACAACUGUGAGCACUGUCGUAAAGGCUUAUGAGGAUGUGAGACCCACCGCACUUCUAACUGCUCUUAACAUCGGCCGCUAUCAGGCUGGGAUCCUGGAAGCAUUCCCUUAACGAUUCCGUGAGUUAUAAUAAGUCCAGGUUGAUUCUUUCCUUUUGCAGUGAAAGCUCAGUCUUUUUUCUUUCCUAAUGAUGUGUGAUUUAGGCCCUUUUUUCUUAUUCUUUUUCUAAGAUUUUCUAUUUAGAGGUAUCGUAUAGUUCUUAUAAAAAUAACAACCUGUAGUGAUCAUGUUGGAAAGUUGAAAGACAAACAUUAGCUCUUAAAACACAUUUUUCAUGUGUAGAAACUGAGUAUCUAGAACCAGAGGGUUCUCUUACAGAAAUUUGGUUGCAUGGAUGCAGAAAUGCAGUUUUAUGGCGAAGAUUUACAAAUGUUUGCGAAUUAAGAGCGCACAUAAAGCUGAAUCUGCUUUAGUGGAGGACUUUUGGGGUAAACAAGCAAAUGUGGUCGCUCUUCUAAUAAGUGAACGGUUGGGAAUUAUGCGCCUCUUGACUUGGCUCCUCCUCUUUACCGCAGUCUUUUUGAGGAGAUUUUGUGGAUUACAGAAGAUGAGUAGAAGGAUGUACUACGGUAGUGAUGCCCGUGGAUGCAAAAUACGAAGACAAAUCUUAAGAAGAGUUGAAGUAGCGUCUCGAAUCGAAGGAUCUCGUCAACGAAUGUGUUGGUUGUGCCCUCUGAGGUCUAGUACUUCAACAGCAUCUUUCCAUGAACUUGCUUGUCAAUCCAACAGUGACUUAUUUUUGUCUCAAUCAUUUCCAGGAUUGUAUUUAUUGAAGUGUAUCCUUUAUUGUCUCAAAUAUUACAAUGCAUAGAUCAGUCAGAAAUGCGAAACGUUACUGUGACCCAAGUACUUUGAUGAAGUGAUCAGGUAUUUGGAAAACCCUCUACUUACAUGCAGUUUUCCAGGUGCUACGGUAUUCUGUAAGCUGUCGCUGAACCUAUUAUCGUAGAUCAUAUCUCCAGAAUGCUUUUGUUUUCUUUGGAUCUCCAAUGUCAUGCAGUUUUUCUUCACGGUUUUUAAUGCCUGUGGGGAACGAAAUAGACGAUCUGUUCAUGUACAUUUGGGUCCGCAGUUCUUUGUGCUAAAACUUAGGCAAACGCACGGUAUUUCAUUCUUAUUUUCAGAAAGUCACUUGAUUUGAUUUGAAGCACAAUGAGCUUCUAGCUCAAGAUUCCUGUUAUCAGCUUCAACUCCGAAGCGCACAUGCAACCAAAUGUGGCUGGAAAACAUGACUGCGAAGAAGACUCGGAGGCUCAACUUCAAACACCAACUAACUGUCAUGUUAUGGCAGUUUGAAUGAAACCAAUACCUCUUCUCCCUAUUUCUCAAUCCAAAAAUCAUGCUUUUUGUUUGAAUCUUCAUUUUGUGCAACUUGUGAGGAUGGAAAAGACCCAUGUGUCUCUAAGUGCAUCCGACGUAAGCACCGAUCUUUCUUAAAGGUGAAAAUGAAGUGAAAAACUAGGGAAGUUCUUGUUAGUGAAAAGUUGUUACUCUUUUUUUAAAAAAUAUCUAUUCCAGACCCCCAACUUUUGCAUACGGACUACAGCAUUUCAAAGCUAAUUUAUCUUUGAUUUGUAGUAAAAGUAGUAACGAGUGAAAAAAGAGGGUAAGAAAAGAAGAUAAAGGUCUUUAAAGUCUUUAAAUAAAACCUUUAAAAUUCUUUGUAGCAUCUAUGCUGCGAUUUUUUUAUACGUAUAUUUCUGAUUAGAAAAUAAGAAGUAUUGUAUUGGGAUUGUAUUUUUUUUAAAUAUAGCACUAUGAUUUACAUUAGACUUAGUUGAAGACUUAGUUGAAAGAAAGAUUGAUUGAAUUUAGAGAAUUUUGUAAAAAAGAGGGUAAAUGAGUUAUUUGUUGCAACCUUAACAAU
Non-coding RNA from Physcomitrium patens, 3547 nucleotides. NCBI's taxonomy places the organism in Eukaryota, Viridiplantae, Streptophyta, Bryopsida, Funariales, Funariaceae. The record is from RefSeq and is a predicted model, not a curated record.